GCUGGGGUUCUACUUUAAAGUCGUGGUCGUGGACAAUUUGGGAUUUAUUAAGGAAUUUUUGUAGUUGCUAGGCUGUGGUUCUAUGUGCUGAGGAGGGAGGCGUUGCUGCUCAUGCUGCUGUUGCUGGAGUCCUCACUUUAUUUGUUAAGACUAUGUAAUGACCGAAUGAUGUUAUUUGUUUGUGUCAUCCUUGACUCUUUACCUACCGCAUGUAAUCCUGCAAUCGGUACUUUUAAUGCUAUCGUUAUUAAAAACUGUUUACUCAUGUUUUAGCAAUAACCUAUCCUUAUUAGUCAAAGGGAGUAUUUAUCUACUUAUGACCACUCGCAUGUUGCUAUUUGGGUUUCAGGAUUAUACUUUCUGAAAUUCCUAUUCUCUGUACUGAGUGAAACUAAUAUACUGGGUUACCUGUAAAUCCUGUCAGUGUAACUUGAAAAGGAUUCUCAUCCUCCCAGAGAGAGUAAAUAGAGAUGGUGAAAUGUCAUCCUAGUUGUUAGGACGGAGCUCAUCAGAUCUUUUCCCCCUUUCACACCAUUUUGUUAGCGUUGUGCUUGAGUGAGAGGCUACUGAUAGCGCUGCUGACCCUUCCCAAACCUUGGACGCCUGCUGAACCUCGUCUGGUUGCAGCUGGGUGUUGUGCCGAUUCCAGCUUGGCCUGUGCUGGUUGCAGCAUCUCGGCCUGUCCCUGCAACCCUCUGCUUGCUGCCCCUUGCAGAACCUCGUCGUGUGCAGCUGGACGUUGUGCUGAUGCUUAACCUGUGCAGCUUGCAGCUGUGCUGGUUGCAGCAUCUCAGCUUGUCGCUUGCAGCUGGUUACAACAUCCCCCAUGACGUAGCAGUGGCUCAGGCGCUUUGCAGUAAAACUUCUCGCAGGGAAAAACCGCCACCGUUGCGGAUUCCUCCAGCAAAAAUUGUCGCCUGUCAAAGAAAAAAGCAGCAAUGUUGCGGAUCACUAGCAAAAUCAGUCACCCGUUCGAGCAAAAAAUGUCACCGGUCGCAGCAAAAUUGUCUGUCACAACAAAAAGCACCACCGAUCGACCUGGCGGUGUUAACCAAGCACAUGUUUGAUCCCUUUAACAUAAGGGGUAAGAGUCCGACGGUGUGCCAAUCAUCACCAUUAGCCACCUGGAAUGCGAGGAGGUAAUUUGUUGCCCAAAAUCUCAGGGUCCGCUUCCGUUGUACUUGUCCAUCGUGUUUAUCUUAAAGCUGGAUGCGAACUUGUAGCAGACGAUCUCGUACAUCAAGAUCCCUUCUUAGUUUGGCAUGAUGAUGUGCUAUUCGUGUCACCGGUUGUCCUGAUGUGACUCUUACAUGGCCAUCCUGCUGGAUCAUCGCCGUCUUCAGAUAUUCCAUCCCUUCUUGCUUGAACCUCCGCUUGUCCGGAUGCCCUUUUUGGGAACUGUGUCAUGACCAGGGCUCCCGCCGCUACCUGUAUAUCCUUAGCUGGAGUGUGAUAGGACUCUGGGCCCUCCUGGAUCAAUGGCGUUCACGAGCGCCUCUUUCACUCGUCUACUUUCCAUGGCUAGGGAGGCCUUGUCCUCUGCCGGCAUGGUCUUUCCGAUGGGAUGGCAAAACCGGAACAGCUCCUCGCUGCGUCCAGGCCCGCCGCCCUCCUCUCCAAGCGUCUCUUCUCCUUGGAAACCUUGACGAGAGCCGACAAGGCUUUCAUCCGGACUUCGUCUUGCUCCUCAUCUUCUAGGAUCGCUCCAUCAAGUGCUUCAAUAUCCCUAUCGCUAAAUUCUGACACCUCGUCGCUUUCCUCCUGGCUUGGAUCUAGCGUGUCUACUACAUAGCAGGACUGGACCGAGGUCGCCUGCCACGUGCAAAGAGGCACCACGGCUCAUGGUGGGCUAACUCCUCAUUCCCCUCGAGGAUGUUGGUGAGAUCUUCAACGUUGGCGAUUAAGUGGGUUGUGAGCAGAUCAAUUUUUUGGCAUGCUGCUCUUGGGCCUGGAAUGACGUCAGACCUUGGAGAAGGAGCUCGCCGCGUGAAUCCGCGACGUACUCUAGAUUGCUUAAUUGAACAAUCCAGCCUAGGGUGCAGCUCUCAACUUGGCCCAAGCGACCGGUCGAGUCGGCGACAAAGGUCAUGGCGCCGAAAAAGAAGAUUUGACCUGACGUGUAGAUCGUGUCGUCGUCAACUAGCGAUCCCAUCUGAUCACUAAGUUCACAGAUCCCUCAAUAGGGUAUCCUAGUGAGGUGAGUAAAUCAGGGGGGAAACAUGAGACAGAUUUACCCAGGUUCAGGCCCUUCUUACAAGGUAAAACCCUAUUGUGUUACGGUGUAGAAAGUACAUGUAUUACUCAAGGGAUUGUAUGUUUUCUAUCGACUAGCUCGACCCCGGCUUAUAUGAGAUAUCGGGGCCCCUAGAGUUACAUGGACCUAGUCGACUAUGCUGGUGGAGGGGAGUCCUUCAUGUCUCUGGCUUCCUUAUCUUAUGGGCUAAGGGAGAAGGAGGUCAAGAUGCACUGAUCAUCAAGGAAAAUAGAGCUAUGAAAGAUGGUGCAGGGGUAACCCUCUUCCGCCAUGAACGUCGUGGGUCAAAUGUAGAUGCUCACAAUAUAGAAAAAGCUCUAGUCUUAUCACCAGGUAGGCAUGUCUAGUUGCUUGAGCCCCCGGGCUACGUAAACUCUAUGAUUGAUUAUUAAAGCUCGGGUUUGUUAUUCUUAAAAAAUGUUUUGGAGCAUUGUUUUUCCCCAGGUCUCCACGAAUGUCAUUCCAUCGCGAAAAUUUGCACGCAUGUGAAAUAUACAUCGAUGUUUGUUGCUAAAAAAAUUCAGAUUUUUUUUAUUUUUUACAAAUUUUUCUUACUGUUCCAAAUGGUAUAUGUGAGCUCGUGCUCACAAACUUCAUGUCCCAUUCUAACAAAUCAACUCUCAGGUUGCAAAAAAAACCCCAUUUACGUUGAUUUCUUCCUCUGUGAAUUGAGUGUUCCAAAUAAUAGACAACUCUACAUUUGGUCUUAUAGGAAUGAUAAUAGAUGGGAGUACAUCUCUUCAGAAUACUACUAGGAAAGGAGCACAUGUGUUGCAACGGGGUAAUUAAAUUAUGGUCUUCAAAUUGAGUGACCCAUAACAUAAUACCUAUAAUGAUUACAAAUAAUAUACAACUCACACUGUUAAUUCAAAUCAAUAACAAGGUAUGAGGUCAAUGAACCAAAAUGAAUCAAACAGAUUAAGUGGUCGAUAUGUAUAAGGUCAAUGAAACCAUCGAGAGUGACAACUACAAGCUCAACGCACCGUGAGGCUUGAGUUCUCUUAUUUAUUGCAGACAUGUGUAGCUACUAACAUAAUUAGGCCAUCGUUAUUAGGGGUAGUAGUGCAUAGUCUUCUUCAUAGAUUGUGAUUUUGUGAAAUACUCUCGCAGUACAUUGUCUUGUUACACCAUCCUGUGCCGUCGUCAAGUCCUAAUCGGAAGCAAUGUUCAGCUGAUAAGAGCUCUACGAGAAAGUAAUGACAAUCAAGCUGGCAUUGUAUUGGUGCUCAUAAAUCACACAUACAGUUGGCCUCUCCACACAAAUAUGCAGGACACAAAAAACAAGUGCUAUCAUUAAUUGACUACUGGAUACUAGUUUGUAUACAAUAAAUCAGUAUAAAAAAACACAGGCAAGUGGAGAAAAUAUGAAGCUAUGUUGUUGCUCCUCCUCACUAACAUUGGUGACUUGGCUGUCUUCAUUUAGAUUUCCCAAGAUAAUUUCUGAUGGCCCUUCUGAUGCACCAACUCAAAAUUACAAGAAAUACCACAUCCUUCUGCUUGUCGGUCUCGGAAUUGGUGCAACUCCUUUCGUCAGCAUACUGAAGGAUGUCCUUAACAACAUAAAGUCCAAUAAAGUAACAUAGUCACUGAAUGUUCUUCCUCAUACAUGAGUAGAGAUGCACAAUGGCUAAAAUGAAUUGGAUUCUACAAGAGCAGCAAAGCAUGCAUGACGUCGAGUUAGGCAGCACCUUCAACUUCAAGGGCAACGUGCCAAGCCGAGCAUACAUGUAUUGGGUUACCACUUACCAGAGACCAAGCGGCUCGUUUGAACGGUUCAGAGGUGUCAUAGGUGAAGUUGCUGAAAGUGAUAACGGUGUACUAGUCAGCCGUAACAGUUUCAGAUACACCAUGGUUGCCUGCAAAAAGUUUCAGAUACAUCAUGGUUAAUUGCUUGCUUCCUUUCCUAACUGCUACUUCAAGAUCUGCACACACUUUGCAAGGCCAAACUGAAGAAAGGUUAGUCACAUUUGAUUAUUACUACAGUAUUAUUUUUGGCUGCGCGCCUGAUUAAAAUCUAAGUGACGAAUCCCACUUUAUACAUUACAAAAAAAGACACUGUAUACUAAGAUGACGCCGCAUAAGUCUGCAGGUGUUUUCACCCUCUGCCUCCUCCUCUUACCGGCUCUCAUCAGCGGCAUGCAAAAGGGGAGAGGCGGCUGUAGCGACGUAUCCCGGCCGGACCCGUGCGUGUUGGAGGCCUGGAAGGUGAUCGGAUCGGAUCUAGAGUCCGUGGAGGAGACUUGCUCGGAUACACAAACUUUGCACAGAGUUCCAUUACGAUUAAUGGGUGGCCUUGCCGGACCCGGACACGGGCUCCCCAUGAACCGCCCUCCUUUUGCCACAUAAAUAGGCUUCGAGCCCUCUACGGAAGCAUCCAAUCUCCCGGUCCUUCAAUCUCGCCGCUCCACCACUCCGCCGGCCGCCCGUGCUCCAUACGCCGUCGUACAAUCUCGCCGUUCUACCAACAUCGCCGGACCGCCGUGCUCCACCUGAGGUACGCCCGAUCUCGUGCCAAGCUGAAUUCUGUCCUGUCGAUGCUGAGAAGUCAUGAUCUUUCAUGUGUGUCUGCGCUCUGCAACCAUAGCUGCCAUCGUCAUUACCUUGCACCUAUACGGACAGUCUGCACUCUUUAGGCCUCAUAGAUUAGCCACAAAGUAGGCUAUACACACACUGGAGAGUAGGAGUACUUCAUAGUGGCGCCUGGUAGUUCCAAUAUCUGGAGAAAAUACCUGUCCAAUCUUCUGCUUUGGACUCUGCUUGAGUUCACUUUUCCAAAGCUCGCUACGGUACUGGAUACUGGAAGGCCAAUUUGGCUAAAGGCAGAGAAUAGUUCAAAAGAGAGAAUAUAUGCCAUGCUCUCUAUUACCUGAUCAGGUUUCAUCUUAAAUUGUGGUGAUUCUGUUCUAUGCAAUAUUAUUUGCUAUGUUCUGGCAUUGAUUCUCUGUUAUGGCUGACGCGUGUGUCAAGGCUAAUAAGAACUAUUUUUACCCAAUGGUAAAUUUACUGAACAAGCUCCUGUCUUAUCCCCAUCGUCUGUCUUAAGGCUAAUCUAUUCAUGGUUAGUUUUCCUUGCUGUACAAAGGUCAUCGUUCAUUCGCUCUUUUGUACUAUGUUCUUCUUCUCUUUCCUUUACAGUAAAACAUAGACCAUGCUUCCAUUGUUGCAACUUGCAACUAGUUCCAGGUUUGCUCGUGGGUGUCAUUUGAGGUCAGAGUAAAUAUUUUGGUAGUGUGCCAACUAUAGGCACACUCGGUCGAAAUCCAAAAAAUCCAGUAGCUUAUGCAGCCUAUAAUUAGCUUUUACAUAUUAAUUAGUAGCUGAUUUCUGUCAAAAUGAAUAGAUGGACACCCUCUAUUUACAAUAUUAUUAUAAUUUUCUCCCUGUUUGAUUGAACUCCAUGCUGAUUACACCUUCACACAAUAUAAGAUAUUGUUUGAGCAAUCUGACUGUGGGAUGUUCAGGUUGUUAUUGCAGAAAAUGAAUGACAGCGCUGACUUGACCAUUGUUGUGGAUUUUGAUAACCGACCUUCAAAAAAAGCCAAUUUUUCUGAAUCGGAUCUUUUGGAGCCAUCACCUACGUCACCAACCAUCUGACAUCAUCUCUGGUUUUUGAAUGUUUUGAAUCGAUUGUUCUGGAAUCAGAUAGAUGUUGAUCCAUUGCCAUGACCACCGUCACCAACCAGCUCGACAUUACCUCCAGUUUCUGAAUGUAUGAAUGAAAGAAAAGUUUAAUCGAUGAUGAUAAGUAACCAGAUGAAUAUGAACAAAUAAAAGUUGAUGAAACAUACAACUAGCUCCCACUAGAUAAUUGUUUGAUUUAUGAUGUGUACUUUUGUAUCUAGCAUCCUCCUUUUUAUUAUUUAAUAUUAUUAUUUGUGUAUGUGCACGGUUAAUCCAUAUUUACACAUGGAUUUAUUCGAUAUUUUUUCAAAUUAUUUUACUUUUUGCAGAUUAUGCACUGACCAACAGUGAUGUAUGUGCUCAUAUAUCAAUAGAAACAUCUUUUGAAAAAACGAUUACAGGUGAAGAUAGAUGAAAUAUCUGUCAAACAACAUCAAUUGGUGUGCGUGUUAGAUAAAAAAGGGUGGCUAAACGAUGAUGUAAGUACCCUUUCUUACAAGAAUGUCCAAUUAUUGAUAUCCAUUAGUAAUGUCUUUUUCAAAAUCUUUUUAUGUAAUCAGUGCAUAUGUAUGUUGUAUAGAGGACCAAGUACAUGUUCAAAAUGAUAGUAAAGUAUAUUUUCAGAAUCCUUUUGUUACCGCAUCGUUAAUACGGUAUGUCAACCUUGGUAUAUAUAUGAAGAUGGUACCUUUAUGAAAAAGAUUGUAAAAAACUAUGUGAAGCAUGACAUUGUAACAUCCAUAUCCUUUAUUUUCCAUGUUCCGGGUUUAAUACAUAUUUAUUAGUAAUUUUACUAAUUAUUUUGAUUAUAGAAUGAACUUCCAAUAAAUAUGAACAACACACAUUGCUAUUUAACUGUUGGGGACGCAAAAAAUUGUGAGAUUACAGUACUUGACUCAUUGUGUUGGGAGUUUGACCGAGAUGAUCUCACUAUUACGGUUGGUUACUACAUCACUAUUACGGUUAGUUACUACAUAACUAACCGUAAUAGUGAGAUCAUCUCAGUCAAACUCGCAACACAAUGAGUCGAGUACUUGAAUCUCACACUUUUGCAUUCACAACAGCUAAAUACCAAUGUGUGUUGUUCAUAUUUAUUGGAAGUUCAAUCUAUAAAUCAAGAUCAUCAGUAAAAUUAUGAAUAAAAGUGUAUGAAACACAAAACAUGAAAAUUAUGUAUAUGGAUGUUACCAUGUCAUGCUUCACGUAGUUUUUGACAAUCUCACCAUGUUCAUUUAUUCCAAGGUUGCCAUCAUGCUUUAACGGUGCAGUAACAAAAUGAUUCUCAAAAUAUACUUUACUAUCAUUCUGGACAUGCACUUGGUCUUGUAUACAAAGUUUGACUAAAUUUAUAUUAAAAAAUAUCAACAUCGUCUACAAUACUAAAGUUAUAUAGACGAAAAUUAAUUUUCAUCUAAUGCGUUUCGUAUUGUAAAUGUUGAUGUCUUUUCAUAUAAAAUUGGUCAAAAUUUACUAAGUUUGACUUCAAACAAAUUUCAUAUGCAAACUAAAAAGAAACAGAAGGAGCACCGAUGAUGAGAAUAAAUGAUGAUUUUAAAAGAAAAGAAUAGAAUAGAACCUAGCAGAGAACCUGUCCGGCCCCAGAUCAUCCAGAGUGUCAUCUUCGUGAACGCCCACUGCUAGGUACUUCACAGAUCCGCACACACUUUGCAAGGCCAAACUGAAGAAAGGUUAGUCACAUUUGAUUAUUACUGUAUUAUUUUUGGCUGCGCACCUGAUCAAAAUCUAAGUGAUGAAUCCCACUUUAGAUUACAAAAAAGACACUGUGUAUACUAAGAUGGCGCUGCAUAAGUCUGCAGGUGUUCUCUACCGUGGAUCUACCACUCUUACAAAAAUGCUGACGGAUCUUGCAGUAGAAUUCAGCCACACGACAACAACACGGUUCAGCCACAGGCCCACAAGGAGAACUUCUGACUUCUAAGUUCAGGCCAACAAGCAGUUCUAGGAGCUCUGCAGGUGCCAUCAGGAGCAGGGGAGAGGCGGCUGUAGCGACGUAUCCCGGCCGGAUCCGUGCGUGCUGGAGGCCGGGAAGGUGAUCGGAUCUAGAGUCCAUGGAGGAGACUUGCUCGGAUACACGGCCUUGCCGGCCACGGACUCCACAUGAACCGCCCUCCUUUUACCACAUAUAAAUAGGCCUCGAGCCCUCUACCGAAGCAUCCAAUCUUGGGGUCGUACAAUCUCGCCGUUCUACAACUCCGCCGACCGAAGUGCUCCAUACGCCGUCGUACAAUCUCGCCGUUCCACUAACAUCGCCGGACCGCCAGUGCUCCACCUGAGGUACGCCUGGUCUGGCUAAAUUCGGUUCUGUUGUUUUGAAAAAGACAUGAUCUUUCCUGUGUGUAUGCACUCUGCAACCAUAUAUGUCAUCGUUACCGACUGGAGCUGCCGCAAGAUCUUCUGCUUUGUACUCUGAAAGUUUGCUUGAGUUCACUUUUCAAAGCUAGCUACGGUACUGGAUGCUGGAAGGCCAAUCUGGCAUAAAGAGAGUGAAUAAUAUAUGCCAUGUUCUCUAUUACCUGAUCAGGUUUCGGCUCAAAUUGUGGUGCUUUUAUUCUAUGCAAUUUUAUUUUCUUGAUGAUGCUAUGUUCUGGCAUUCGUUCUUAAGGCUAGUAAUAAACUCUUAAGGCUAGUAAUAACUAUUUUAACCAAUGGUAAAUCUACUGAACAAACUCCUGUCUUGUACCCUUCCUUCUAUCUUAAGGCUAAUCUAUUCAUGGUUAGUUUUCCUUCAUGUACGAAGGUCAUCUCUUUUUUGUAUAUUUUUUCUUCAGUUUUGCUAAAGCACAUCUAGAUGUGCCAUAAGUAUUGCACAUCUAAAUCCUAUGUCAUUGAUCUUAUGCGGAGAUUCGUGUGAAUUUUUUUUUGGAUUUUUUCUUUUUCUUUCCAUACUUGAUUGUGUCAUUUAGAUGUGCAAUAACUAUAGCACAUCUAGAUGUGCCCUAGACAAACCCUUUUUUCUUCUCUUUCCUUUACAGUAAAACAUAGACCAUGCUCGCAUUCUUGCAACUUGCAAGUAGUUCCAGAUUUGUUCGUGGGUAUCAUUCGAGGUCAGAGUAAAUAUUUUGGCAGUGUGCCAAUCGAAAUCCAAAAAUCCAGUAGCUUAUGCAGCCUAUAAUUAGCUUUUACAGAUUAGUAGCUGAUUUCUCACAAUGAAUAGAUGGACACCCACUAUUUACAAUAUUAUUACUAUUUCUCCCUGUUUGAUUGAACUCCAUGCUGAUUACACCUUUGCACAAUAUAAAAUAUUGUUUGAGCUUUGCAGAAAAUGAAUGACAGUGCUGACUUGACCAUUGUUGUGGAUUUUGACAAUCGACCUUCAAAAAAUGCCAAAUUUUUUUAAUCGAAUUUUUUGGAGCCAUCACUUGCGUUAUCUUUGGUUUCUGAAUGUUUUGAAUCGAUUGUUCUGAAAACAGAUUGAUGUUGAUCCAUUGACAUGACCUACGCCGCCAACCAACUCGACAUUAUAUACCUCUGGUUUCUGAAUGUAUGAAUGAAAGAAAAUUUUAUUCGAUGAUGAUAAGCAAUCAGGGGAAUAUGAACAAACAAAAGUUGAUGAAACAUACGACUACCUCCCACUAGGUAAUUGUUUGAUUUAUUACUUUUGUAUCUUGCAUCUUAAAUGCCUUUUUGUUAUUUAAUAUUAUUAUUUGUGUGUGUGCAUGGCUAAUCCAUAUUUACACAUGGAUUUAUUCAAUAUUUUUUCAAAUUAUUUUACUUUUUGCAGAUUAUGAAAAAACAAUUACUGGCGAAGAUAGAUGAAAUAUAUGUCAAACAACAUCAACUGGUGUGCCUGCUAGAUGAAAAGGGGCAGCUAAACGAGUACCCUUACUUACAAGGAAACGUUCAAUUAUUGAUAUCCAUUAGUAAUGUCAGCAUGACAUGGUAACAUCCAUAUCCAUAAUUUUCAUGUUCUGGGUCCAAUAUAUAUUUAUUAGUAAUUUUACUAAUUAUCUUGAUUAUAGAAUGACCUUCCAAUAAAUAUGAACAACACAUUGCUAUUUAACUGUUGUGAACACAAAAAAAAUGUGAGAUUACAAUACUUGACUUAUUGUGUUCGGAGUUUGACCGAGAUGAUCUCACUAUUACGGCUGGUUACUACAUCACUUCUGAUCCUCUAUAUGAAAUGUCAUAAACUGAUCCUUCGCUUAUGUGUAUUAUUUCCGAUGACAUAUUUCAGCUACAUGGACUACAAUAUCAAUUGGACAUUUUUAAAAGUCAUAACUUGAUAAGCCACAACCUGAAAGACUUCGACGUUACUAAAUGGAAGAUCACAAAACAAUUAUGAAAGUCAAUUCAAAAAGACAAGUAUAAAGCAUCACAUAUGUUCUAUACUAAUAUAAGUAAUAUUGUGAUAUAUCUAGGGUACUCAAUUUUGUUUUAAUUAUACAGUUCACCUUGUGCACUACUAAUUCAAAAUGAAUUGCUCUAAAAUAUCUGUAGAAUUGAUUGAUUUGAUGUAGCUGCAAAGUUCACCUACUAACUCAUCUAAGCUCAUGUUAGAAAGAACAUAUAUUAGUAAUUGGUAUUUAUUUUCGACAAAUAAUGUGUUUAUUGCUUUUGAUUUUUUGUAUCAUAUGUACUUUCCAACAUUUUAAUUAACAUCAUUAGGAUCUCCAUCAAUGUCAUCGUCAUUUUGUUCAAUCAUUGUAGUCGUGGCCGCGGUGUUUGUUUUCCAACAUAAUAGUAUGCUCACUAACUUUAUACCUAAAAAAGAAGUGAUAAUUUCCCGUGCAACACAAACAACUAUUAGUUUUUUUUUGACAACUCAAACAACUAUUAGUAUAUUAUUGAACAUACACGAUUAUUACACAUGAAUUAUUACUUAUAUUGGCAUAGAACAUAUGUGACACUUUACAACCUGUCUUCUUGAAUUGGCUUUUGUAAUUGUUCUGUAAUCUUCCAUUUAGUAACAUUGAAGUCUUUCCAAUUCUGGCUAAUCAAGUUUUGACUUUUAAGAAUGUCCAAAUGAUAUUUUAGUGCUCGUAGGUGAAAAAUAAUUAAUGAUCAGAAACAAUACACAUAAGCGAAAUUUCACAUAAUAAGGGGUAAUAAAUGAUGUAGUAACUAUGAGAUCAUCUCAGUCAAACUCGUAACACAAUGAGUCAAGUACUUGAAUCUCACUCUUUUGCAUUCACAAGAGCUAAAUACCAAUGUGUGUUGUUCAUAUUUAUUGGAAGUUCAAUUUAUAAUCAAUAUAAUCGGUUAAAUUAUGAAUAAAAAUGUAUGAAACGCAAAACAUGCAAAUUACGUGUAUGAAUGUUAGAGCUUGUUCGGCAACACUUCACUCCUCAAAUUUCUCAACUCCGGUCCUUACUUCUCAGCUUCCAACCCUACUUGCAUAUUUUAGAAGUUUGCAAAACGGCCCCCAACUCCAGCUCUUCUACGUGUGCGCAUGGAGAAAGGGAAUCGGGGCAAGUGGAGGCUAUGAGAGAUUCGUGGGAUUAUGUUUUCUUUUUUUUCUUCUCAAACCGAUAAGUGGCGGGUAAAAAUUGUACAAGACGGAGUGUGUGGAGCAGCACUUUUCCAACUCCAGCAGUUUGUACUACGGGCCGCUCCGCUCCGGAUUAUGAAAUCCACGGAGUUACGCGUUCGGUGCAGUUCCGCCGGUUCCGUGGCGGAGUUGAGGAGUGGAGGGCUCCCGGGCACUUAAUUAUGUCCGGUAACAAAAAUUCUCAAAAUAUACUUUACUACCAUUCUGGAUGAGAAGUCAGAGACCCUUCCGCACGGCCGGUAUGGACUAGAGGUCGUUGUACCUGGCUGCCACGCGGCCAGCGCCGACAAAGUCCUUCAUCGCGGCCGCCCUGGACGAGGGCACCAGGAGUUACGUAUCUGAUCUUUUUUUUUUCCUUUCUUUUCUUUAAAGCUGUUAUAUACAUCUGAUCCUGGAGGAAUGGAAACGUAAAGUGAAGGAGCGGGAUUGAGCAGCUGGGAUUGGAAACAGAGCGGCCGUGGGGUUGCGUGCUUUAAGAUUGGAGUUGGAAUGGACCCGGUCUCAGAAUUUAUUUUCCCAUCUUCUCCGCCUCCGCCUCCGCCUCCUCCUCUGCCUAGCUCCACCUCCGCCGAUGGCAGCCGCCACUCCAAGCAAAAGCAACAAGGACGCCAUGGCCUUCGACUAUGCCAAAAUGCUCAUACCGAUCUCGCCUUCUGCUAUCAGGGCCGUUAGAGUUAUAAUAUAAGUCAUGUACCCCUUUUGUAUUUAUCCCGUUGUAUAAGGGGUUUCCUACAUAUGUUCCACACUUGUACAUGCAUAUAUAUCGGCCUAUGGCCUCAUGAGAAUACAAGUUGCUUAUACCUAACAUGGUAUUAGAGCUAGGUCAAUUUUUUGCACGCUGCAACUCGUGCGAUUGAUCCAUCCCGAUCGAAGCAGUCCCGCUCGAUCUCCAACCGGCCUCGUGUGAUUGAUCUCCUGAUCGAAGUCUUCCUCGAUCUCCUUCUCCUCCCCGUUCCGCUGCAGAUAGAAGCGCUCACCACGACCUCCCGUGAUCAAUGUGCUCCAGGCCCCGCUCCAGAUCGAAAUCACCUCCAACCGCCGGGCCUCCAGUCGUCUCAGUCGCCGAUUCCCAUCGCCCAGCUGCAGCCAGCUUCAAGUGACGAGGCGCUCAUCUUCCUGCUCGCCUCUACUUCUUUCUAGAUCGGAUCCCACCGCCUAGCUGCUCGAUUCUGCCCUCCAGAUCGGAUCGGGCUUCCACGCAGUCGUUGACCAAAAAAAAGUCUGCUGCAUCGGGCUAUGUUGCUGUCCCUUGCUGUCCGGUGAUCUUCGAUGGUACUAACUACACUGAGUUCACUGGCUUCAUGCGCAUUCACAUGCGUGGCAUCCGUCUCUGGGGCGUUCUUUCUGGCGAGGUCUGCUGUCCGCCACGUCCGGUUCCUCCGGUGGCUCCUAUUCCGCCGACUCCACCGGUUCUUCCUCCGGAUGCUAAUCAGGCCGCCAAGGAUGCGGCUAAGCUUGCUGAUGAGGCUGCUGAUCGUGCUUAUGAUGAGAGGGUUUUGGCUUAUGAGGAGGCUCUUCAAACGUAUCAUGGUGCUCUGUCUGUUUACACCCAGUGGCUUGAUGAUGAUGCUCGUGCUGCAGUUGUUCUCACUGCUAGUGUUCUGCCUCAGUUUGCUUUUGAGUUUCUGGGUCUUCCUACUAUCUUUGAGAUGUGGACCCGUCUUCGUCAGCGCUAUCAGCCCUCUGGUGAUGCCUUAUACCUUUCUGUGGUCCGUCAGGAGCAUGCUCUUCAGCAGGAUGACUCUACUGUUGAUGACUUCUAUGCACAGAGUUCUGCUAUCUGGCGCCAGCUUGAUUCUCUCCGCAGUGCUAGUUGUCGUACCUGCCCCUGUUGCCAGGCUGUCCAGGCCAAUUUGGAGUUUCAUCGCGUCUAUGAGUUCCUGUCUCGGCUCCGUAAGGAGUUUGAGCCCCGGCGUGCUCAGUUGUUUGCUCGUGGCCGUAUUUCUCUCAUGGAGGCGCUUUCUGAGAUUCGUGCUGAGGAGACUCGCUUACGUGGUGCUGGUUUGCUGGAGGUUCCCUCUGUGCUCGCUACUCGUGCUCCUACGCCACCUGCUGCACCGAUCCCCUCUCGCUCGAGUGCUCCGCCGCUCUUGCCCACUCCUUCCGGAAGCUCAGGUCGCCCCCGUCCACAUUGCGACUAUUGCAACAAUGAUGGUCAUCUUGAGUCUCAGUGCUACACGAAGAAGAAACACCUGCGCAAGGCGCGAUCAUCAUCUUCAGGGACUUUGUCAUCUACCUCGACAGCUUCAGCCAUUGCUUUGACUGACCAGGAUAUUCUGAGACUUAAGCGUCUGCUCGCAGCUUCAGGUUCUUCCUCGACGGGUACUGCUGGUUCUAUGACUGAUGCUUCCCGCACUGAGCAAUCACCCUCUACACAGUCAGGUACAUCCCCAUGGGUUCUGGACUCUUGAGCUUCUUUUCAUAUGUCUUCUCAUUCUUCCACUUUGUCCUCUCUUCGAUCACUGGAUUCUCCUGUUCAUGUCCUCACUGCUGAUGGUACUCCACUUUCUGUUGCUAGUAGAGGCAAUCUUACCACUCCUUCUUAUUCUGUUCCUGAUGUUGCUCAUGUUCCUCGACUUACCAUGAAUCUGUUUUCUGCUGGUCAACUUACUGAUUCUGGUUGUCGCGUCAUCCUUGACGUUGUCUCUUGUUCUGUCCAGGACCGUCGCACGCACACUCUGGUUGGGGCUGGCCCUCGCCGCCGUGAUUCUCAGGGUCUUUGGGAGUUGGACUGGCUUCAUGUUCCUUCCGCUGCCACCAUCGCCAGUUCUUCCGCUUCUGUCUCCUCCGUUACUGGUUCCUUCCAGCAGUGGCAUCAUCGACUUGGUCAUCUGUGUGGUUCUCGGUUGUCUUCUUUAGUUCGUCGAGGUCUUCUGGGGUCUGUCUCAGGAGAUGUCUCUUUAGAGUGUCAGGGUUGUCGUCUUGGCAAGCAGAUUCAGUUACCAUAUUCACAUAGUGAGUCAGUGUCCAAGCGUCCUUUCGAUUUAGUCCAUUCUGAUGUAUGGGGUCCGGCCCCUUUCGCUUCGAAAGGUGGUCAUAAAUACUAUAUUAUUUUCAUAGAUGAUUUCUCUCGUUACACAUGGCUUUAUUUCAUGACUUCUCGUUCUGAGGUGUUGUCUAUUUAUAAGCAUUUUGCUGCCAUGGUUCAUACUGUUGGGGAACGUUGCAGAAAACAAAAAAUUUCCUACGGUUUCACCAAGAUCCAUCUAUGAGUUCAUCUAGCAACGAGUGAUCAGAUUGCAUCUACAUACCUUUGUAGAUCACGCGCGGAAGCGUUCAAAGAACGGGGAUGAGGAAGUCGUACUCGACGUGAUCCAAAUCACCGGAGAUCCUAGCGCUGAACGGACGGCACCUCCGCGUUCAACACACGUACGGUCAACGUGACGUCUCCUCCUUCUUGAUCCAGCAAGGGGGAAGGAGAGGUUGAGGAAGAUGGCUCCAGCAGCAGCACGACGGCGUGGUGGUGGUGGAGCAGCAGUACUCCGGCAGGGCUUCGCCAAGCUCGUGACGGAGGAGGAGAUGUGUUGGGGAGGGGAGGGGCUGCGCCUUGGAUGUUCUUUGCAGCCCUUCCCUCACCCCUCUAUUUAUAGGGGAAGGGGGAAGGGGGCCGGCCCCCUCUAGAUGAGAUCUAGAGGGGGGGGGGGGCGGCCAAGGGGAGGGGGGCUUGCCCCCCAAGCAAGGGGGCGCCCCCCUUUAGGGUUUCCCCCAACCCUAGGCGCAUGGGCCCUAGGGGGAGUGGCGCCCCAGCCCACUUUGGGCUGGAUCCCUUCCUCAUACAGCCCAUAAGGCCCUCCGGGAGAGGUGGCCCCUCCCGGUGGACCCCCGGAACCCCUCCGGUGGCCCCGGUACAAUACCGAUAUGCCCCCGAACCUUUCCGGUGACCGUAUGACAACUUCCCAUAUAUAAUUCUUUACCUCCAGACCAUUCCGGAACUCCUCGUGACGUCCGAGAUCUCACCCGGGACUCCGAACAACUUUCGGGUUACUGCAUAUACAUAUCUCUACAACCCUAGCGUCACCGAACCUUAAGUGUGUAGACCCUACGGGUUCGGGAGACAUGCAUACAUGACCGAGAUGACUCUCCGGUCAAUAACCAACAGCGGGAUCUGGAUACCCAUGUUGGCUCCCACAUGCUCCUCGAUGAUCUCAUCGGAUGAACCACGAUGUCGAGGACCUAAUCAAUCCCGUACUCAAUUCCUUUGUCAAUUGGUACGUUACUUGCCCGAGACUCGAUCGUCGGUAUCCCAAUACCUUGUUCAGUCUCGUUACCGGCAAGUCACUUUACUCGUACCGUAAUGCAUGAUCCCGUGAUCAACCACUUGAUCACAUUGAGCUCAUUAUGAUGAUGCAUUACCGGGUGGGCCCAGAGAUACCUCUCCGUCAUACGGAGUGACAAAUCCCAGUCUCGAUUCGUGCCAACCCAACAGACACUUUCGGAGAUACCUGUAAUGUACCUUUAUAGUCACCCAGUUAUGUUGUGACGUUUGGCACACCCAAGGCACUCCUACGGUAUCCGGGAGUUGCACAAUCUCAUGGUCUAAGGAAAUGAUACUUGACAUCCAGAAAAGCUACAGCAAAGGAACUACACGAUCUUUGUGCUAUGCUUAGGUUUGGGUCUUGUCCAUCACAUCAUUCUCCUAAUGAUGUGAUCCCGUUAUCAAUGACAUCCCCAUGUCCAUAGCCAGGAAACCAUGACUAUCUGUUGAUCAACGAGCUAGUCAACUAGAGGCUCACUAGGGACACAUUAUGGUCUAUGUAUUCACACAUGUAUUACGAUUUCCAGACAAUACAAUUAUAGCAUGAAUAAUAGACAAUUAUCAUGAACAAGGAAAUAUAGUAAUCAUUUUAUUAUUGCCUCUAGGGCAUAUUUCCAACAGUCUCCCACUUGCACUAGAGUCAAUCAUCUAGUUACAUUGUGAUGAAUCGAACACCCAUGGAAUUCUGGUGUUGAUCAUGUUUUGCUCUAGGGAGAGGUUUAGUCAACGGAUCUGCUACAUUCAGGUCCGUAUGUACUUUACAAAUCUCUAUGUCCCCAUUUUGAACACUUUCACGAAUGGAGUUGAAGCGACGCUUGAUAUGCCUGGUCUUCCUGUGAAACCUGGGCUCCUUGGCAAGGGCAAUAGCUCCAGUGUUAUCACAGAAGAGAGUCAUCGGGACCGACGCAUUGGGUAUGACUCCUAGGUCGGUAAUGAACUCCUUCACCCAGACUGCUUCGUGUGCUGCCUCCGAGGCUGCCAUGUACUCCGCUUCACAUGUAGAUCCCGCCACAACGCUUUGCUUGCAACUGCACCAGCUUACUGCCCCACCAUUCAAAAUAUACACGUAUCUGGUUUGUGAUUUAGAGUCAUCCAGAUCUGUGUCGAAGCUAGCAUCGACGUAACCCUUUACGACAAGCUCUUCGUCACCUCCAUAAAUGAGAAACAUUUCCUUAGUCCUUUUCAGGUACUUCAGGAUAUUUUUGACCGCUGUCCAGUGUUCCAUGCCGGGAUUACUUUGGUACCUUCCUACCAAACUCACGGCAAGGUUUACAUCAGGUCUGGUACACAGCAUAGCAUACAUGAUAGACCCUAUGGCCGAGGCAUAGGGGACGACACUCAUCUUUUCUCUAUCUUCUGCCGUGGUCGGGCAUUGAGCCAAGCUCAAUCUCGUACCUUGCAAUACAGGCAAGAACCCCUUCUUUGACUGGUCCAUUUUGAACUUCUUCAAUAUCUUGUCAAGGUACGUACUCUGUGAAAGACCAAUGAGGCGUCUCGAUCUAUCUCUAUAGAUCUUGAUGCCUAAUAUAUAAGCAGCUUCUCCAAGGUCCUUCAUUGAAAAACACUUGUUCAAAUAGGCCUUUAUGCUUUCCAAGAAUUCUAUAUCAUUUCCCAUCAACAGUAUGUCAUCCACAUACAAUAUGAGAAAUGCUACAGAGCUCCAACUCACUUUCUUGUAAAUGCAGGCUUCUCCAUAAGUCUGCAUAAACCCAAAUGCUUUGAUCAUCUCAUCAAAGCGAAUGUUCCAACUCCGAGAUGCUUGCACCAGCCCAUAAAUCGAGCGUUGGAGCUUGCACACCUUGUCAGCAUUCUUAGGAUCGACAAAACCUUCCGGCUGCAUCAUAUACAGUUCUUCCUUAAGAUAACCGUUAAGGAAUGCCGUUUUGACGUCCAUUUGCCAUAUCUCAUAAUCAUAGUAUGCGGCAAUUGCUAACAUGAUUCGGACGGACUUCAGCUUUGCUACGGAAAAGAAUGUCUCAUCGUAGUCAACCCCUUGAACUUGUCGAUAACCCUUAGCGACAAGCCUAGCUUUAUAGAUGGUCACAUUACCAUUUGCGUCUGUCUUCUUCUUAAAGAUCCAUUUAUUUUCUAUGGCUCGCCGAUCAUCGGGCAAGUCAGUCAAAGUCCAUACUUCGUUUUCAUACAUGGAUCGUAUCUCGGAUUUCAUGGCUUCCAGCCAUUUGUCGGAAUCCGGGCCCGCCAUCGCUUCUUCAUAGUUCGAAGGUUCACCGUUGUCUAACAACAUGAUUUCCAAGACAGGGUUGCCGUACCACUCUGGUGCGGAACGUGUCCUUGUGGACCUUCGAAGUUCAGUAGGAGCUUGAUCAGAAGUAUCUUGAUCAUCAUCAUUAACUUCCUCUCUAAUUGGUGCAGGCACCACAGGAACAUUUUCCUGAGUUACGCCACUUUCCGGUUCAAGAGGCAAUACUUCAUCAAGUUCUACUUUCCUCCCACUUACUUCUUUCAAGAGAAACUCUUUCUCUAGAAAGGAUCCAUUCUUGGCAACAAAGAUCUUGCCUUCGGAUCUGAGGUAGAAGGUAUACCCAAUAGUUUCUUUAGGGUACCCUAUGAAGACGCAUUUUUCCGACUUGGGUUCGAGCUUUUCAGGUUGAAGUUUCUUGACAUAAGCAUCGCAUCCCCAAACUUUUAGAAAUGACAGCUUAGGCUUCUUCCCAAACCAUAAUUCAUACGGUGUCGUCUCAACGGAUUUCGACGGAGCCCUAUUUAAAGUGAAUGCGCCAGUCUCUAAAGCAUAGCCCCAAAAUGACAGCGGUAAAUCGGUAAGAGACAUCAUAGAUCGCACCAUAUCUAAUAGAGUGCGAUUACGACGUUCGGACACACCAUUACGCUGAGGUGUUCCAGGCGGCGUGAGUUGUGGAACUAUUCCACAUUUUCUUAAGUGUGUACCAAAUUCGUGACUCAAGUAUUCUCCUCCACGAUCUGAUCGCAAAAACUUGAUUUUUCUGCCACGUUGAUUCUCAACCUCACUCUGAAAUUCCUUGAACUUUUCAAAGGUUUCAGACUUGUGUUUCAUUAAGUAGAUAUACCCAUAUCUACUCAAGUCAUCAGUGAGGGUGAGAACAUAACGAUAGCCACCACGAGCCUCAACACUCAUUGGACCGCACACAUCAGUAUGUAUGAUUUCCAAUAGGUUGGUUGCUCGCUCCAUUGUUCCUGAGAACGGAGUCUUGGUCAUCUUACCCAUGAGGCAUGGUUCGCACGUGUCAAAUGAUUCGUAAUCAAGAGACUCUAAAAGUCCAUCUGUAUGGAGCUUCUUCAUGCGUUUGACACCUAUGUGACCAAGGCGGCAGUGCCACAAGUAUGUGGGACUAUCAUUAUCAACCUUACAUCUUUUGGCAUUCACACUAUGAAUAUGUGUAGCAUUACGCUCAAGAUUCAUUAAGAAUAAACCAUUCACCAUAGGAGCAUGACCAUAAAACAUAUCUCUCAUAUAAAUAGAACAACCAUUAUUCUUGGAUUUAAAUGAGCAGCCAUCUCGUAUUAAACGAGAUCCUGAUACAAUGUUCAUGCUCAAACUUGGCACUAAAUAACAAUUAUUGAGGUUCAAAACUAAUCCCGUAGGUAAAUGUAGAGGUAGCGUGCCGACGGCGAUCACAUCGACCUUGGAACCAUUCCCGAUGCGCAUCGUCACCUCGUCCUUCGCCAAUCUCCGCUUAUUCCGCAGCUCCUGCUUUGAGUUACAAAUGUGAGCAACUGCACCAGUAUCAAAUACCCAGGAGCUACUACGAGUAUUGGUAAGGUACACAUCAAUUACAUGUAUAUCACAUAUACCUUUCGUUUUGCCGGCCUUCUUGUCCGCUAAGUAUUUGGGGCAGUUCCGCUUUCAGUGACCACUUCCCUUGCAAUAAAAACACUCAGUCUCGGGCUUGGGUCCAUUCUUUGGCUUCUUCCCGGUAGCUUGCUUACCGGGCGCGUCAACUCCUUUGCCGUCCUUCUUGAAGUUCUUCUUACCCUUGCCUUUCUUGAACUUAGUGGUUUUAUUCACCAUCAACACUUGAUGGUCCUUUUUGACUUCUACCUCUGCUGAUUUCAGCAUUGCAAAUACUUCAGGAAUGGUCUUUUCCAUCCCCUGCAUAUUGAAGUUCAUCACAAAGCUCUUGUAGCUUGGUGGAAGCGACUGGAGGAUUCUGUCAAUGACCGCGUCAUCCGGGAGAUUAACUCCCAGCUGAGUCAAGCGGUUAUGUAACCCAGACAUAGUGAGUAUGUGCUCACUGACAGAACUAUUUUCCUCCAUCUUACAGCUGAAGAACUUGUCGGAGACUUCAUAUCUCUCGACCCGGGCAUGAGCUUGGAAAACCAUUUUCAGCUCUUCGAACAUCUCAUAUGCUCCGUGUCGCUCAAAACGCUUUUGGAGCCCCGGUUCUAAGCUGUAAAGCAUGCCGCACUGAACGAGGGAGUAAUCAUCAACACGUGUCUGCCAAGCGUUCAUAACAUCUUGGUUCUGUGGGAUGGGUGCGUCACCUAGCGGUGCUUCUAGGACAUAAUCUUUCUUGGCAGCUAUGAGGAUGAUCCUCAGGUUCCGGACCCAGUCCGUAUAGUUGCUGCCAUCGUCUUUCAGCUUGGUUUUCUCUAGGAACGCGUUGAAGUUGAGGACAACGUUGGCCAUUUGAUCUACAAGACAUAUUGUAAAGAUUUUAGACUAAGUUCAUGAUAAUUAAGUUCAUCUAAUCAAAUUAUUCAAUGAACUCCCACUUAGAUAGACAUCCCUCCAGUCAUCUAAGUAUAACAUGAUCCGAGUUGACUAGGCCGUGUCCGAUCAUCACGUGAGACGGACUAGUCAACAUCGGUGAACAUCUUCAUGUUGAUCGUAUCUUCUAUACGACUCAUGCUCGACCUUUCGGUCUUCUGUGUUCCGAGGCCAUGUCUGUACAUGCUAGGCUCGUCAAGUCAACCUAAGUGUAUUGCGUGUGUAAAUCUGUCUUACACCCGUUGUAUGUGAACGUUGGAAUCUAUCACACCCGAUCAUCACGUGGUGCUUCGAAACAACGAACUGUCGCAACGGUGCGCAGUUAGGGGGAACACUUUCUUGAAAUUAUUAUGAGGGAUCAUCUUAUUUACUACCACCGUUCUAAGUAAAUAAGAUGCAAAAACAUGAUAAACAUCACAUGCAAUCAAAUAAUAAUAGUGACAUGAUAUGGCCAAUAUCACAUAGCUCAUUUGAUCUCCAUCUUGGGGUCCAUGAUCAUCUUGUCACCGGCAUGACACCAUGAUCUCCAUCAUCAUGAUCUCCAUCAUCGUGUCUCCAUGAAGUUGCUCGCCAACUAUUACUUCUACUACUAUGGCUAACGCGUUUAGCAAUAAAGUAAAGUAAUUUACAUGGCGUUUCUCAAUGACACGCAGGUCAUACAAAAAAUAAA
This 21017-nucleotide long non-coding RNA is filed under the name Triticum aestivum (bread wheat). Its description in RNAcentral is "long non-coding RNA (TAES_LNC015149)". The record is from RNAcentral. Lineage: Eukaryota; Viridiplantae; Streptophyta; Magnoliopsida; Poales; Poaceae.